Molecule: ribosomal RNA, 796 nt
Filed under: uncultured Methanosarcinaceae archaeon
Lineage: Archaea; Methanobacteriati; Methanobacteriota; Methanomicrobia; Methanosarcinales; Methanosarcinaceae
Description: bacterial SSU rRNA
Rfam family: Archaeal small subunit ribosomal RNA
Source: RNAcentral
ACGGCUCAGUAACACGUGGAUAACCUGCCCUUGGGUCCGGCAUAACCCCGGGAAACUGGGGAUAAUUCCGGAUAACGCACAUAUGCUGGAAUGCUUUAUGCGUAAAAUGGAUUCGUCUGCCCAAGGAUGGGUCUGCGGCCUAUCAGGUAGUAGUGGGUGUAAUGUACCUACUAGCCAACAACGGGUACGGGUUGUGAGAGCAAGAGCCCGGAGAUGGAUUCUGAGACAUGAAUCCAGGCCCUACGGGGCGCAGCAGGCGCGAAAACUUUACAAUGCGGGAAACCGUGAUAAGGGGACACCGAGUGCCAGCAUCAUAUGCUGGCUGUCCGGGUGUGUAAAAUACACCUGUCAGCAAGGGCCGGGCAAGACCGGUGCCAGCCGCCGCGGUAACACCGGCGGCCCGAGUGGUGAUCGUGAUUAUUGGGUCUAAAGGGUCCGUAGCCGGUUUGGUCAGUCCUCCGGGAAAUCUGACGGCUCAACCGUUAGGCUUUCGGGGGAUACUGCCAGGCUUGGAACCGGGAGAGGUAAGAGGUACUACAGGGGUAGGAGUGAAAUCUUGUAAUCCCUGUGGGACCACCUGUGGCGAAGGCGUCUUACCAGAACGGGUUCGACGGUGAGGGACGAAAGCUGGGGGCACGAACCGGAUUAGAUACCCGGGUAGUCCCAGCCGUAAACGAUGCUCGCUAGGUGUCAGGCAUGGCGCGACCGUGUCUGGUGCCGCAGGGAAGCCGUGAAGCGAGCCACCUGGGAAGUACGGCCGCAAGGCUGAAACUUAAAGGAAUUGGCGGGGGAGCAC